UUCCCUGUGGCUCAGUUGGUAGAGCAUGGUGUGUGCAAUGCCAGGGUUGUGGGUUCGAUUCCCAUUACAAAAA
Molecule: transfer RNA, 73 nt
Filed under: Salmo salar (Atlantic salmon)
Lineage: Eukaryota; Metazoa; Chordata; Actinopteri; Salmoniformes; Salmonidae
Rfam family: tRNA
About the family: Transfer RNA (tRNA) molecules are approximately 80 nucleotides in length. Their secondary structure includes four short double-helical elements and three loops (D, anti-codon, and T loops).
Source: Rfam by way of RNAcentral